RNAcentral lists this ribosomal RNA (631 nucleotides) under uncultured bacterium. RNAcentral's name for it is "bacterial SSU rRNA". It matches the Rfam family "Bacterial small subunit ribosomal RNA", at positions 87 to 717 of the family's 1533-position model. The record is from RNAcentral.
UAAUGAGAGCGGCGUACGGGUGCGUAACACGUGUGCAACCUGCCUUUAUCUGGGGGAUAGCCUUUCGAAAGGAAGAUUAAUACCCCAUAAUAUAUUGAUUGGCAUCAAUUAAUAUUGAAAGCUCCGGCGGAUAGAGAUGGGCACGCGUAAGAUUAGCUAGUUGGUGAGGUAACGGCUCACCAAGGCUGCGAUCCUUAGGGGGCCUGAGAGGGUGAUCCCCCACACUGGUACUGAGACACGGACCAGACUCCUACGGGAGGCAGCAGUGAGGAAUAUUGGACAAUGGGUGAAAGCCUGAUCCAGCCAUCCCGCGUGAAGGACUAAGGACCUAUGGUUUGUAAACUUCUUUUAUACAGGGAUAAACCUACUCUCGUGAGGGUAGCUGAAGGUACUGUAUGAAUAAGCACCGGCUAACUCCGUGCCAGCAGCCGCGGUAAUACGGAGGGUGCAAGCGUUAUCCGGAUUUAUUGGGUUUAAAGGGUCCGUAGGCGGGUCGAUAAGUCAGUGGUGAAAGCCUGCAGCUUAACUGUAGAACUGCCGUUGAUACUGUCGGUCUUGAGUGUAUUUGAGGUAGCUGGAAUGAGUAGUGUAGCGGUGAAAUGCAUAUAUAUUACUCAGAACACCAAUUGCG